UGGGGAAUUGUUCGCAAUGGGCGCAAGCCUGACGACGCAACGCCGCGUGGAGGAUGAAGACCUUCGGGUCGUAAACUCCUUUCGACCGAGAUGAAUUCCUGCCGGCCUAACAUGCCGGCGGGGUGACAGUAUCGAGGGAAGCAGCCCCGGCUAACUCCGUGCCAGCAGCCGCGGUAAUACGGGGGGGGCAAGCGUUGUUCGGAAUUACUGGGCGUAAAGGGUUUGUAGGUGGUCCGCUAAGUCAGACGUGAAAUCCCUCAGCUUAACUGGGGAACUGCGUCUGAGACUGAUGGACUCGAGGACAGGAGAGGAACGCGGAAUUCCAGGUGUAGCGGUGAAAUGCGUAGAUAUCUGGAGGAACACCGGUGGCGAAGGCGGCGUUCUGGACUGUUUCUGACACUGUAAAACGAAAGCCAGGGGAGCAAACGGGAUUAGAUACCCCCGUAGUCC
Molecule: ribosomal RNA, 450 nt
Filed under: uncultured bacterium
Lineage: Bacteria
Description: bacterial SSU rRNA
Rfam family: Bacterial small subunit ribosomal RNA
Source: RNAcentral